RNAcentral lists this transfer RNA (89 nucleotides) under Aquificota bacterium. RNAcentral describes it as "Aquificae bacterium tRNA-Ser". It matches the Rfam family "tRNA". Rfam says of the family: Transfer RNA (tRNA) molecules are approximately 80 nucleotides in length. Their secondary structure includes four short double-helical elements and three loops (D, anti-codon, and T loops). Further hydrogen bonds mediate the characteristic L-shaped molecular structure. tRNAs have two regions of fundamental functional importance: the anti-codon, which is responsible for specific mRNA codon recognition, and the 3' end, to which the tRNAs corresponding amino acid is attached (by aminoacyl-tRNA synthetases). tRNAs cope with the degeneracy of the genetic code in two manners: having more than one tRNA (with a specific anti-codon) for a particular amino acid; and 'wobble' base-pairing, i.e. permitting non-standard base-pairing at the 3rd anti-codon position. Lineage: Bacteria; Pseudomonadati; Aquificota. The record is from RNAcentral.
GGAGAGGUGGCCGAGCGGCCGAAGGCGGCGCCCUGCUAAGGCGUUGAGCAGGUCUCCCUGCUCCGAGGGUUCGAAUCCCUCCCUCUCCG